Molecule: ribosomal RNA, 476 nt
Filed under: uncultured anaerobic ammonium-oxidizing bacterium
Lineage: Bacteria
Description: bacterial SSU rRNA
Rfam family: Bacterial small subunit ribosomal RNA
Source: RNAcentral
UUCGCAAUGCCCGAAAGGGUGACGAUGCGACGCCGCGUGAGCGAAGAAGGCCCUAGGGUUGUAAAGCUCUGUCGAGGGUUAUGAAAUAUAGAUGGGUUAAUACCCCAUUUAUUUGACAAAGGCCCAAAAGGAAGCCACGGCUAACUCUGUGCCAGCAGCCGCGGUAAUACAGAGGUGGCGAGCGUUGUUCGGUAUUAUUGGGCGUAAAGAGCACGUAGGUGGUUUUGUAAGUCAGGUGUGAAAGCCUUCUGUUCAAAGGAAGAACGGCAUCUGAAACUGUAGAUCUUGAGUGUAGGAGGGGAGAGUGGAACUUCUGGUGGAGCGGUGAAAUGCGUAGAUAUCAGAAGGAACGCCGGCGGCGAAAGCGACUCUCUGGACCGAAACUGACGCUGAGGUGCGAAAGCUAGGGGAGCAAACGGGAUUAGAUACCCCGGUAGUCCUAGCCGUAAACGAUGGGCACUAAGUAGAGGGGUUUU